Molecule: non-coding RNA, 68 nt
Organism: Myotis brandtii (Brandt's bat)
Lineage: Eukaryota; Metazoa; Chordata; Mammalia; Chiroptera; Vespertilionidae
Source: Rfam
ACCAACAUGGCUCAGUGGUUGAGCGUCAACCUAUAAAGGAGGUCAGGGUUCAAUUCCCUGUCAGGGCA